RNAcentral lists this ribosomal RNA (389 nucleotides) under uncultured bacterium. RNAcentral describes it as "bacterial SSU rRNA". It matches the Rfam family "Bacterial small subunit ribosomal RNA", at positions 28 to 417 of the family's 1533-position model. The record is from RNAcentral.
GACGAACGCUGGCGGCGUGCUUAACACAUGCAAGUCGAGCGGUAAGGCCCUUUCGGGGGUACACGAGCGGCGAACGGGUGAGUAACACAUGGGUGACCUGCCCUCAGCUCUGGGAUAAGCCCGGGAAACUGGGUCUAAUACCGGAUAUGACUCCAUGACGCAUGUUGUGGGGUGGAAAGCCUUGUGCGGCUGAGGAUGGGCCCGCGGCCUAUCAGCUUGUUGGUGGGGUGAUGGCCUACCAAGGCGACGACGGGUAGCCGGCCUGAGAGGGCGACCGGCCACACUGGGACUGAGAUACGGCCCAGACUCCUACGGGAGGCAGCAGUGGGGAAUCUUGCGCAAUGGGGCGAAAGCCUGACGCAGCGACGCCGCGUGAGGGAUGACGGCCU